Molecule: ribosomal RNA, 42 nt
Filed under: Ophiostoma ips
Lineage: Eukaryota; Fungi; Ascomycota; Sordariomycetes; Ophiostomatales; Ophiostomataceae
Also listed under: 3 other names
Description: partial 28S large subunit ribosomal RNA
Source: RNAcentral
UUGACCUCGGAUCAGGUAGGACUACCCGCUGAACUUAAGCAU